This is a long non-coding RNA of Crotalus tigris (Tiger rattlesnake), 386 nucleotides long. RefSeq lists it as uncharacterized. The record is from RefSeq and is a predicted model, not a curated record. Lineage: Eukaryota; Metazoa; Chordata; Lepidosauria; Squamata; Viperidae. The transcript has 3 exons.
CCAAAACUGGAUGGAGUAUUCCAAGUGUGGUCUUACCAAGACAUAAAGCUGGAUCCUUUGUGACUGAAUGUCCAGAAUCAAAGCUAUUUGUAAUAAUAGCUUACUUCUUGUUUGGAGAGAUAACAACACCCAUAUCAUAGCAAACACAGGGAUCCGGAGACCAGGCCACAAGACUGGCACAGUAUUCUCCUCUCCGCCCCCAUUCUCCAAAGUACGCCCGGUGCUCCCUUUGCUUUUUAAGCUCAGACUCAAAGAUGAAGAGAAGCCGAAGCGGCUGCACAAACUGUACAAGACCCUCGCAACUGCUCCAACAACACUGGCAAACAAUCCCCCGGCCCCCACGGCCGCCUCCACCGCCCUUGUCCCACAGCAGGUCCGGGGUCUCU